GGAUACUGCUAUCGGAAUCUGACUAAGCCAUGCAAGUUGACUCUUACACUUGUAAGGGUGGCAAACGGCUGAGUAACACGUAGUCAAUCUACCCCAAGGAAGUGAAUAACCUCGGGAAACUGAGGGUAAUCCGCUAUAGGCAAUUGAGGCUGCAAUGCGCUUUUGUUUAAACGGUGUGUGAAUUGGAGCAUUCCCGCCUUGGGAUGAGGCUGCGGAAGAUUAGGUUGUUGGCGGGGUAACGGCCCACCAAGCCGAUAAUCUUUAGGGGUCAUGUAAGUGAUAACCCCCAGAAGGACACUGAGACAAGGGUCCUAGCCCUACGGGGUGCAGCAGGCGCGAAAACUUUGCAAUGCGCGAAAGCGUGACAAGGAGAUUCCGAGUGGUUCUCAACUGAGAACCUUUUGACGAGUAUAGACCACUCGUAGAAUAAGUGGCGGGUAAGACCGGUGCCAGCCGCCGCGGUAAUACCGGCACCACAAGUGGUAUCCACGCAUAUUGGGUCUAAAGCGCUCGUAGUCGGCUGAAUUAGCUAUUGGUGAAAUUCUUGAGCUCAACUUGAGAGCGUGCCAGUAGAACUGUUCGGCUUGGGAGUGGGGGAGGUUAGAAGUACGCUUGGGGUAGGGGUUAAAUCUGUUAAUCCUAGGCGGACUAGCAGUGGCGAAGGCGUCUAACCAAAACACGUCCGACGAUGAGGUGCGAAGGCCAGGGGAGCAAACGGGAUUAGAUACCCCGGUAGUCCUGGCUGUAAAUGAUGUAGAUUUGGUGUUACGUUAGCCUCGAGCUAGCGUAGUGCCGUAGCGUAGGUGUUAAAUCUACCACCUGGGGAGUACGGCCGCAAGGCUAAAACUUAAAGGAAUUGGCGGGGGAGCACCACAAGGCGUGGAGGCUGCGGUUU
This 895-nucleotide ribosomal RNA is filed under the name uncultured euryarchaeote. RNAcentral describes it as "bacterial SSU rRNA". It matches the Rfam family "Archaeal small subunit ribosomal RNA", at positions 21 to 903 of the family's 1478-position model. The record is from RNAcentral. Lineage: Archaea; Methanobacteriati; Methanobacteriota.